RNAcentral lists this ribosomal RNA (253 nucleotides) under uncultured bacterium. RNAcentral describes it as "partial 16S ribosomal RNA". It matches the Rfam family "Bacterial small subunit ribosomal RNA", at positions 524 to 776 of the family's 1533-position model. The record is from RNAcentral.
UACAGAGGGGGCAAGCGUUAUUCGGAAUUAUUGGGCGUAAAGGGUGCGUAGGCGGUGGUUUAAGUGAGAUGUGUAAUCCCCGGGCUUAACCUGGGAACUGCAUCUCAUACUGGAUCGCUAGAGUGCUGGAGAGGGUGGUAGAAUUCCACGUGUAGCGGUGAAAUGCGUAGAGAUGUGGAGGAAUACCAGUGGCGAAGGCGGCCACCUGGACAGUAACUGACGCUGAGGCACGAAAGUGUGGGGAGCAAACAGG